This 72-nucleotide transfer RNA is filed under the name Camelus bactrianus (Bactrian camel). It matches the Rfam family "tRNA". From Rfam's summary of the family: Transfer RNA (tRNA) molecules are approximately 80 nucleotides in length. Lineage: Eukaryota; Metazoa; Chordata; Mammalia; Artiodactyla; Camelidae. RNAcentral also lists the same sequence under 2 other names. The record is from Rfam by way of RNAcentral.
GAGGGUAGAGCUCAGUGGUAGAGUUCAUGCUUAGCAUGCAUGAGGUCCUGAGUUCAAUCCCCAGUACCUCCA